RNAcentral lists this ribosomal RNA (486 nucleotides) under uncultured bacterium. RNAcentral's name for it is "bacterial SSU rRNA". It matches the Rfam family "Bacterial small subunit ribosomal RNA", at positions 28 to 524 of the family's 1533-position model. The record is from RNAcentral.
GACGAACGCUGGCGGCGUGCUUAACACAUGCAAGUCAAGGGGGCCCAGCAAUGGGCAACCGGCGAACGGGUGCGUAACACGUGAGCAACCUACCGAACUGUGGGGGAUAGCCGGCCUAACGGCCGAGUAAUACCGCAUACGCUCUCAGGGAGGCAUUUCUUUGAGAGGAAACCUACGGGACAGAUCGAGGGGCCCGCGGCCUAUCAGCUAGUUGGCGAGGUAACGGCUCACCAAGGCAACGACGGGUAGCUGGUCUGAGAGGAUGGCCAGCCACAUUGGGACUGAGAUACGGCCCAGACUCCUACGGGAGGCAGCAGUGGGGAAUCUUGCGCAAUGGCCUAACGGCUGACGCAGCGACGCCGCGUGUGGGAUGAAGCUCUUCGGAGUGUAAACCACUGUUGCCCGGGACGAAUAGCUCGAUUAAUCGAGCCUGACGGUACCGGGUGAGGAAGCACCGGCUAACUCCGUGCCAGCAGCCGCCGUAAC